RNAcentral lists this ribosomal RNA (445 nucleotides) under uncultured bacterium. RNAcentral describes it as "partial 16S ribosomal RNA". It matches the Rfam family "Bacterial small subunit ribosomal RNA", at positions 354 to 796 of the family's 1533-position model. The record is from RNAcentral.
GUGAGGAAUAUUGGUCAAUGGGCGAGAGCCUGAACCAGCCAAGUCGCGUGAAGGAAGAAGGAUCUAUGGUUCGUAAACUUCUUUUGCAGGGGAAUAAAGUGCGGGACGUGUCCUGUUUUGUAUGUACCCUGAGAAUAAGGAUCGGCUAACUCCGUGCCAGCAGCCGCGGUAAUACGGAGGAUCCGAGCGUUAUCCGGAUUUAUUGGGUUUAAAGGGUGCGUAGGUGGUUUGAUAAGUCAGCGGUGAAAGUUUGCAGCUUAACUGUAAAAAUGCCGUUGAAACUGUCGGACUUGAGUGUAAAUGAGGUAGGCGGAAUGCGUGGUGUAGCGGUGAAAUGCAUAGAUAUCACGCAGAACUCCGAUUGCGAAGGCAUCUUACUAAGCUGAAACUGACACUGAUGUACGAAAGCGUGGGGAUCGAACAGGAUUAGAAACCCUGGUAGUCC